Molecule: ribosomal RNA, 274 nt
Filed under: uncultured bacterium
Lineage: Bacteria
Description: partial 16S ribosomal RNA
Rfam family: Bacterial small subunit ribosomal RNA
Source: RNAcentral
AUACGGAGGGUGCAAGCGUUAAUCUGAAUUACUGGGCGUAAAGCGCGCGUAGGCGGAUAUUUAAGUCUCAUGGGAAAGCCCUGGGCUCAACCUGGGAACUGCAUGGGAUACUGGGUAUCUAGAAUACAGUAGAGGGUAGUGGAAUUUCAGGUGUAGCGGUGAAAUGCGUAGAGAUCUGAAGGAACAUCAGUGGCGAAGGCGACUACCUGGACUGAUAUUGACGCUGAGGUGCGAAAGCGUGGGGAGCAAACGGGAUUAGAAACCCUUGUAGUCC